AAGACACUCUACCACCAGUAAAAAGCAUACAUAUUAACUUAUGACAAACCAAAGGUAAUUUAUCCAAAGCAAUUAAAAACUCUUUGAAGGUGAUCAACAUUGACAAGCUAAUUGCGGCCUGUCAAUACGCCAUUGCUUUAACGUCGGAAUAUUAAUUGCAUGAACCAAUCGCGUGUUCACGGUGUUACAUCGAUUAACCCCCUUUCUAUGGAAUAUUGCUUUGAGGUCGGCCUGCAUUAUGGACGUGCAGGGUUCAAAUAAUAAAACUCGAAUGACGUCAAUUGAUUGACAAAGGCGUAUUAUUAUCCUGUUUAAUCUGAGAGACAAAAGACUAAAUUAAACUUAGACUGUUUUGAAAUUAAACGAAAGACAACUGCAGAUGUUGUGCAGCGGCAAGAGUAUGUUUGUGAUGCAACAUUUGCGUCAUGUGUUUUCAAUGUUUUGAACAACGGCGCUUGGGUUCUGUGAAAAUAUAAAAUAAUCGUAAUACGGAAAAGACAACAAAAUUAACAAAUGGAAAAUAGUAGCGGUUUGUGGAAAAAUCAGAUAAGAACGAGUUUAAAUGCUGAUCUUAAUGAAUAGCAGACACGUCAUUUUAAAAUUCGUAUUUUUUGUUUAAAUUAUUUGACGACCACAACUUUUAUUUAUAUUCCAAAAUGUAUGGAAUUGUAGAUAUUUCUGAACAUAACAUUGAACAGACAAAGGUUCUGGCUCCAGCUAAGAAUCGAGCCGACUCCUGGUGUCUACAGUACUUAUUAAUUUACUACAAACUCGACAAAUCAGGCGAUCAAGGACCCCUUAAAUGCAAUGUACUACAUACAAUGUACAAUAAAAUCAAAUCCACAAAAUUUUUAUUUGCGUAAUUACUGGUGGUAGGACCUCUUAUCAGUCCGCACUGGUAGUUACCACCACUCUGCCUGUUUCUGCCGUGAAGCAGUAAUGCGCUUCGGUUCGAAAGGUGGGGUAGCCGUUGUAAGUAUGCUGAGACCUUAGAACUCAUAUCUCAAGGUGGGUGGCGGCAUUUACGUUGAAAAUGUCUAUGGGCUCCGGUAACCACUUACACCAGGUGGGCUGUGAGCUCGUCCACCCAUCUAUGCAAUAAAAAAACCUACAUCACUUACUCUGUUUGUGAGACUGAAUAUUCAACAUUUACAGUAAAAAUGAGUCGAAUAUACUCGUAAUAUUUCGUUUUCUCUGAAAAUAUUAUUUCCAAGAAAUUCGUUCUUUAGACGUUCCCUUCAAUACUUCAUUGUGACUCAGAAAAUUCUCAGACAUUACGAUAGGUAAUUGACAGAAGGAAAUAAGUCUCCACUAGCCAGGUUUAUAAGUCACAACAAAUCACAUGUAAGUGCUUUUUUUAAUUUACUAUGCAGAAAAGGUUUUUCUAUCGAAACCGUAUAAAUAACUUUUAUUUAUCGCAACGGAUAUGUCCGUCAAAGUGUCUCCGGUAAAUAUGUUCUGAGAAAGGAAAAUGCAGAGAGCUUUUUCGUCGCUCGAAACUUCAGCGGGCUUUUUUGUUUCGUUACUAAUGGACAGAAUGAAAACGAUGCUUUUUUAUUUUUCUUUGUAUAACUGUGUAAUAAAAGGAGUGGGUUAUUUUGUAUACAGCGCUCUUGUUUACGUAGCCAUUUGCAAUGCAUUCGCUGGUAAAAAAAAUGGAUCUUAUGAUUGUUAGUCAUUUCAAAACUAUAAGCACUUGUACUGGAUAUUUCGCAGAAUAAUUGACCUUCUAUGUUCGCAUUGAAGUAUGUUCUUUUUCUUAUUAUAUAUAAAUUCUAGGAAAUUGUGGCGAAUAAAAUCGAAAAGACUUUUAUAGUGAAUGUA
Bombyx mori (domestic silkworm) is the source of this 1824-nucleotide long non-coding RNA. RefSeq lists it as uncharacterized. The record is from RefSeq and is a predicted model, not a curated record. NCBI's taxonomy places the organism in Eukaryota, Metazoa, Arthropoda, Insecta, Lepidoptera, Bombycidae. The transcript has 2 exons.